AUCGAGCUGAUGAGUCCCAAAUAGGACGAAACGCGCGUCCUGAAU
This 45-nucleotide non-coding RNA is filed under the name Schistosoma curassoni. The record is from RNAcentral. Lineage: Eukaryota; Metazoa; Platyhelminthes; Trematoda; Strigeidida; Schistosomatidae.